UACAGAGGGGGCUAGCGUUGCUCGGAAUUACUGGGCGUAAAGGGCGCGUAGGCGGCGCGGUUAGUCAGGCGUGAAAUUCCUGGGCUCAACCUGGGGACUGCGCUUGAUACGGCUGUGCUAGAGGGCGGAAGAGGCUCGCGGAAUUCCCAGUGUAGAGGUGAAAUUCGUAGAUAUUGGGAAGAACACCGGUGGCGAAGGCGGCGAGCUGGUCCGUUACUGACGCUGAGGCGCGACAGCGUGGGGAGCAAACAGG
This 253-nucleotide ribosomal RNA is filed under the name uncultured bacterium. RNAcentral describes it as "partial 16S ribosomal RNA". It matches the Rfam family "Bacterial small subunit ribosomal RNA", at positions 524 to 776 of the family's 1533-position model. The record is from RNAcentral.